ACUCUAGUAACUCUGAAGAAUCCAAAAGCCGGUUUAACCUCUGUUGAUGAUAGCCUCUCCACAAAGUAUCAAGAGGAACUUUGGGAAACCAAGCAGAGAAAAGAAGAGAUUGCAAAAGAGAAGAGUAUCCUUCUGUCUGAAGGGGAAAGAGAUGCAAAGGAGGAGCUCCUGAGCCAAGUAGAAAUUCAAGAGAGCAUCGAUAAAAUCAACAAGCUUGCUGCUAUCGAUGAAAUCAAUGCUGUGAUUCGAAAAGGUCAUCCCAGUGACACCAUGACUGCACUCAUGAAACCUG
Molecule: long non-coding RNA, 292 nt
Organism: Gracilinanus agilis (Agile Gracile Mouse Opossum)
Lineage: Eukaryota; Metazoa; Chordata; Mammalia; Didelphimorphia; Didelphidae
Exons: 3
Source: RefSeq, a predicted model, not a curated record